ACGUUCUCCAAGCCGGCAUCCCUCAACGCGUGCUCCUGAGCCCCUGAGCAAGGCUGAGGAACCCACCUGACCCGCCCGCCGAAACCGAAGCCCAAGGCUGAACCUGACCUGCCCAAGGUCUCCCAAAGUACCUACAGUCCUGGCCACGCGACUCUGAUAGUCCCUUUGGACAUUCUCUUUCUAGCCCUUCAAUCCAUACCAUCAAGCCCAGAGCCCAGGUAACUUUGCUGAAGCUCUACUUGUCACAGAGGCUUGGGGCAGAAACCUGGGCCCCUUCUUCACCACCACCAUCUUUUCCUGAGAGUAAGAACUUCUCCCUUGUGGGCAGGUAAAUGGUAGGACUGUCCUUCUGGCCACCGGUACCCUUUCUGGGUCUAGCUCAGGCUUUCAGCUAAGGACAAAUGAGCGUAAUUUCUCUGUGUUGCUCUGCACCUCUCAACAUGUACGCGAGGCUGCUGCUGGGUACUCCCCAGAGAACUUCUGGGUCCCCUGAUCUUUCCGGAAGUAGAGAAGAGCGUGUGGACCAGAAACUUAGGAGGGACCUUUGAGGGGCUCCUUCAAGAGGAAAUCCCUAAGAGCCCUUGAAGUCACUUGAAGCUGCUAGUUCCCGUAAUAUUGGUUGGGCAAUUACGGAUCAGAAGAGGUUUCAAGACUGAUGCGUCUGAUCUCAGGAGGCCAUGGGCCGCUCCACAAGAAAGCCUCCCGAGCUGGCAGAUGGGUGGACAUGAUCUCUUCAGAGGAUAAAACCUUGUUCAUCGCUGUAUUGGUCCAAAGAAGGCUUAGCGACUACACUCACAAGGCCACUUUGAUUCCUUUAAGUGUCCUGUUGUGCCCUCCAGGCCUUUCAGCCCUCCCACCCACAGCACGUGAGGCCACCACAAAUUAAGUUUUACAUUUCAAAACACGUGGAUUCCAGACAGUGAGGGCAACAUCGUGAAACCCUGCCACAAAACUACCACAGAACAACCAACCAAACAAAAACCUGGAUUGGGGAUGUAGCUCCGUUCCUAAAGAGCUCACAGCACAAGCAAAGAAUCCGAGUUCAGAUCUCGAACAAUCAUGGAAAAAGCUGAGCGUGCUCCUUCAUUGGCAGCGCCGAGAGGCAUGGAAAGGAGCCGAGCAGCCUAGCCCAGCUGGCGCUUCGAAGCCUCCUGCCCAGUAAGCGUCCCCUGCUCAUCCUGUGGACUCUUUUCCCUCACAGUGACUUCCAAAGAGGAUCACAGGGAUCACCCUUCCCUGUCCCCUGCAGCACCAGGAACCCGAGGCAGCAAACUUCACUGAAGGGACAGGGUUUGCUGCAGAGAAAAGCAGCUAUUAAGAAGACAUCUCAAACUGUACAUGUCAGCCGGGCCUAGUGAGGCACACCUGUAAUCUCAGCACUUGAAAGGCAGAGGCAGGCAGAGCUCUGUGAGUUUGAGGUUAGCCUGGUCUACAGAGUGAGUUCCAGGACAGCCAUCUCUGCAGAGAGGCCCUGUCUUGAAACAAACAAAACAAAACAAACAAACAAACAAACAAAUGCGCAGGUCAUUUCUCACUAGGGAAGUUGUAGCAGCAUCACCUGGUGAGUUUCUUCACAGCUGUCUUUUUUGGGAUAUAUUUGAUUACUAACUUGAUCCCCCUGCUCCAGAUCAUUUUUAUGCUCUCACCCCCACCCCCAACACACACUUCAAAAGUGGCUCUUUUGUAUGACGGUAUAGUCUAAAUCCAUACUUCAGAAGAGAUACUUUAUGAAAGGCCUUCUAGUCUGGUACCUGCCUAUGGGGAUGCUAAAGCUCUGAUUAUCUUCACAGCAUCCUCCUGUUCCAGCUUUGUGCCACUGCAUGCCAUGCAGCAAUAGCAAAAGACCUGGCAGAGUGUGUGAACCCAUGAUGGUUGCUUUCAAACCCGUAGUGUUCCCGUCAGAGCUUUGAGAAGAUCGUGUGCACCACAGACCAGGUGAAAAUCAUGGUUAGGACUGGGAUCCUUCCCAGCCCUGAGCACAGUGAUUUACAAGUGUGGACCUUUGGUUUUCCAAGCACAUCUUUCUUCCUUUGGACUCUGUUCCAGCCCCCACUGGGUUCCGUAGUCCUGGCAGCCUGUUUAAAAGCCUCAAGCCUGUGAACCUUUCUGCUCUUGUUUUGCUUUUCUUCUUCUUUCUUCCUUUGUUCCUUUUAGUACCAGUGAUUGAACCUAGGGCUUCACGCGUGCUAGGGCAGAAACUCUACCCCUGAGUUAUAUCCCAGAGCCCCCUUUCUUUAAAUUACAUCCAUUUAUCUGUUGCCUGGAGGAUGCAGAUUACAUGCAAGUAGAGGUCAGAGGACAACGUGUGGGGGUUGGCUCUCUUCUCUCAUGGGGGUUUCAGAAAGUGAACUCAGGUUGACAGGCUUGGUAGCAAGCACCUUUACCCACGGAGCCAUUUUUAAAGUUCAUGGGUGUGUGUGUGUGCGCACACAUUCAUUUGGAGGGGCAUGUGUGUCUUCCAUCUUGUCUGCAGAAUAUCUUUUGUUGUUCACAGCUGCAUAAGCAGGUGUUGUCUUCCUUCUCAGAGACUUGGCCCUGGCCUACCCUCUAGUCACAAGUUGGGGGUAAAGCUUUCACUCAUCACAAGAGGCUAUUCCCAAAGCAUUCUAUUCUCAUGCCUGAUCACUUCUCCCCUGUGACAUACUACUGUGUGUGUGUGUGUGUGUGUGUGUGUGUGUGUGUGAUUCUCCACCUCUGCUUCCUAUCUUCUACCGCAGCAUUGGGCUAUUGUGACUAACUUGACAUGGAUGCCCGUCAUUUGAACUCGGUGCCUCACCCUUGCACAGCAAGCUAUUUAUGCACUGAAACAUCUUCCCAUCCCCCCGCCUCUUUUUAACUUUUUUUUUUUUUUUUUUUGAGACCAUCUUAAUAAGUUGCCCAGGCUGUCUUUGAACUUGCUCUUGUAGCCCAGGCAGACCUUGAACUUUCAGUCCUCCUGUUUGUACCUUUACAGCGGCUGGGACUACAGGCUCGGAUUUUGUUCUUGUUGUCUCUCGUUGGUCGUUCUAUCUUCCCAGCUAGCAUAGGGGCUCUCCCGUGCAGUGGCUAGUCCCGGGCGCCUUCACUUCAGAAGACAUUUGCUGAGCCAUGAGUCCUUAAGUUCAGAGUCUGAGGGAGGUUAAGUUUGUAAAUAAAUCACUAAAGCAAGAGUAAUAAAACUUAUGACAGAGGGGAACACGGGCAAAGUCGCUAUAUUGCACAGCUCUGGCGGGGGGGGGGGGGAACAUCCAUCUGACUGCCACCCCCCAACAGCUGUGCCGUGAGAUAGCCCUCGGCACAUGGAAACCCAAAGCAGCCAUCUGACUCAGCCGGGGAAGUUCAACCGAUUGCCUUGAGGAGACCGAGCAUUGAGGCUUCGAAGGCAAGCUCUCCAGGCAGCCGAGGAGGGAAGCGCUGUCCAAGCAGAGCAGACUACACCCACAAGGCCGCCAGAGAGGACUGAGGGGGUGUUUACAGUAUCGGGAAGUAUGCGGAAUACAUUUUGGCCGAUGCACUGAACACACACUGGGGGUGGAGGGGUGCCUAGAGCCCGCUUGCUAAAUGAGUUUCAGGAAUACAAGAACUAUAAUAAUAGACGUCAUCAUUACUAACAUUUAUUAACCACUCUCUGUGUGCCGGGCACUGAGCUAAAGGGGUUUACAUGUAUUUUCUCAUUCCGAUUCUCAGCAACCCCAUGGGGUACAGUCUUUAUUAUCUUAUCUCUACAGAUAGAGCAACGGAGAUGCGGAGAGGUUAAACAACUUGUCUAAGGUCACAGAGCUACAGGACGACUACAGAGUCAAGCUGCAAACUCGGGCCUUCUGACUCCUCCCUCAACACUAAUGCCCUUGACUUUGGACUGUAGUAGUCUUUGCGCAGACCAGAGAUACAGCUGCUAUCUCAUUAGGUCUCCUUGAGGUUCCCCAGCAGCAAUGCUCCUGCUCCCCGGGAGAAUUGGCGUUAUCAGGCUCAGCUCCAUCGAGAGCUUCAGCAGAGAGGGGUAGUGGGAGCCUGAGCAUCUGAGAAUUGCCCCUGGGAUUCUUGGGAGUUCUUCAGGAGGAAUUUGAGAGAGGUCAGAGUCCUGCAGAGGAAACAAACAAACAAACAAACAAAAAAAAAACAAAACAAAGAAAAACCAACUAUUUAUCAAGUUUAUUUUGAGUCCUAGGUAUGGUGAGACCUCAUUAUGCUUGGAGAAAAAGAAGAAAAAAAAAUCUAGUUAGCUCGCUCAUGUACAUUCCUUCCCAUACCACCUGAUUUCCAAGUCAUUCAGGAUUCGUCAGCCCUCUAUCCCUGUCUUCAAAUUUCUUUCUUUCUUUCUUUCUUUCUUUCUUUCUUUCUUUCUUUCUUUCUUUCCUUCCUUCCUUCCUUCCUUCCUUCCUUUUUUUUUGUUGUUGUUGUUUUGUUUUGUUUUUUGUCUUUCAAGACAGGGUUUUCUAUGUAGCCUUGGCUGUCCUAGAACUUGCUCUGUAGACCAGGCAGUCUCCUGAGUGCUGGCAUUAACAGCAUGUGCCUCCACCGCUCAGCUGUCUUCAAGACUUUUGUCCUUAUUCUUUUACCCAAGAUGCUGACACAUCUGUCAGUGCCAUCUUCUGCCAUCUUGGGCCAGUUCCAAAGGAUUCCUUCCUCAGCUCCAGUCCACGAUGAACUGCCAGAAGAUAUGACAGGGAUCGCACAUACUCAGAGCCUUUUGUCUGGUUCUUUUCCACUCACUGGCUUCCCCCACCCAGCCUUAUUUAGGAACUUUUCUGCCUCAAGGUAUCCUUAAAUGAGAGCAUUCAGGGGGCCUCUUCUCUUAAUUCUCUUGUCCAUGUCACUCUUUUCUACUGCUUCAAUGACCGUCCUGACUAUGCGACCAAUAACCAGAUGCAUAGCUUGUUUAUAACAGGAUGCUUGAAUGUAUAUUUUAUACUUCUAUUCAUAUGAUUAGGGUGUUUUUAUUUGUUAGGACAUGUGUCUGGAGGAUAACAUGGACCCUGACCUUAUGAGCUCAUGAUCUAAGAAGCAGAUAUAGCAGAAAAUUAGAACACAGAGUAUCUGCAGAGAAAGCAGGACAUAAGAAAAAAGCAAUUAAUCUAAGGAACUUGUGUCAGAUUUGGCUGUAGGUGACAAAACAGCUCAAAUCUGGGCUAGUAAGCUGGCUCAGUGGGUAAAGGUGCUUGCCAGCAAGGCUGACUGAUAACAUGAGUUUGAUUCCCAGAAAUCACAUGGAAGAAGGAGAGAACCAGCUUCCAAAAGCACGCUCACACACACAAACACACACACACACACACAUUUCAACCAGCUAAAAGCCUUGAAAUAAUUAGUCCAGAGCUAGCGUGAUAGAUCCAGGGUCCUAAAAGCCCUUAUGCUUUUCAUUAUUCUGCUCCUCCAACCCCUGCUCUUCAACAAUGUUUCUACCUCAAAGACCCGAAAUAGUCAGUCAGAUUCUAGCCAAUGUAAAGGAAGAUGGAGUGGAAAAGAGCAUACUCACCUUUUAACACCAGUUCGCCAAAGUGGCACAAACUACUUCUGCCUAAGCCAUGGGCCAGGACUUAGUCACACAGCCACACCCAACUGCCAGGAAUUCUGGAAAGUAAAGAUAUUUAUUCCCUACCAGCCUUGGAGACAGCUAAAAUAUAAGCCUCGGUGACAAGCACACGGAUGUUAAGAUGCAGGAAGUAGCUGCAGUUUCAAAAAGGUUCCUGAUGAGUUGACACUUACCCUGAAAUUGAGAAACUGAGAUAUGAGUCUAAGUUAACCAGGCAGAAAAGUGUUUGGGCUACAGGGGGCAGUUGGGUAUAUUGUUUUCUUUAAGACAGCCUUGUGUAUCCCAGGCUUGCCUUGAAUUAGAGCUAUAGCUAAGGAUGACCUCGAACUGAUGACCCUCUUGCUUCUAUCUGCUGAGUGCUGAGCUUACAGAUAAGUACCUCGCUGCCCUCUUUAUGCUCUGCUGGGGACUGAACCCAGGGCUGUGUGCAUGCUAGAUAAGCACUCUGUCAACGGAGUCAGGACCCCAGCCCCAGAGAGCAUGUUGGAAAACACAGGUACUUUGAGUUUCUCCAGCAUGGCGUGGGUACCGCGUGUGUCAGCAGACACAGGUAGGAUCUCACUGUGUGAGAUGGAGAGGUGGCAAGUAUGUACACACUAGGGUGUUGUGAAAUUGCCUGCUCUAUCACUCUCUGCCUGAUUGCCUGAUUCUUUUUAGAUAGAAGCUUUCUCUCCACCUGGGGCUAGGCUGGCAUCCCGGAAAACCAGCGAUCUCUGUCUCUGUCCCCAACAGCAAUAGGGUUACGGGAGCACAUUCAGCUACACCAGCUUUUUUUUUUUUUUUUUUAAGAAUCAUUCAUUUUUUUGUGUGCAUUGGUGUUUUGCCCGUAUGUCUGUGAGAGGUGUCAGAUCCCCUGGAACUGGAGUUACAGACGGUUGUGAGCUGCCAUGUGGGUGCAAGGAACUGAACUCCAGUCCUCUAGAAGAGCAGCCAGGGCUAUUAACCUCUGAGCCAUCUCUCCAGCUUUUUAUAUGGAUUGCUGGGAUUUAGGGGGUGUGUGUGCAGGCGGGGAACCCUCACGUUUGAGCAAGCACUCUUACCUACUGGGCUAUCUCUCCAGCUGCCAGGGUCACACAUUUUAGUCAUCUUGAAAGGGAAGGCACGGCCUCUGCUGAGGAAAGAGGCUCACUGAGGGGUGGAGUAAAAGGCAACACCUCAGCUAAAAUUAGAUUCCUGCAGAAAGCAGCCCUUGCACAUUUUGGCCUUAGAAGUCCUUAAACUUCCCUGGCACGGGCUUGAGUUACAAGAGAUGUCGAUUUGCAAUUAGAUCAGGUGCCCUGGGCAAGGAAGCUCUGGCAAGCCUGAAGCUGGGCACAAGCACCGCUCACACACCACUGGUCGUUGGCAGAGUGGCCAUUGGCCCUAGCGCCUCAGCUUCUGGUCAAUGUCUGGGCAACUUGUGGGGUGCCGAAGCCACACAAGCUGCCAACUGGGGCCUCCUCCCCAGACAUAUUACAUGCCUUCCAAAGGUUGUGUUUAUUUCUAUGAUGUGGCUACCAGACAUGGGGUCAGGGCAGCCAGCUGGGCACAGGAACUCUGACUCUGCAGGAAUGAGCUCAGUCCCCACAGCUCUGUCUCCACUGCCCUUCUUUGUUCCUAUAGCAAGUGGACAAUGACUGGCCCAGGUCACCUCAGAUGGUUCAGCUAGAAAUCCCAAAUACUCUGACACCUACCUGCUCACUGUCUGACAGAGCCCCACAACCCACUGUUCCCCUGACCCCCUUCCACAACAAAUGUACAUUUUAUAUCUAUAGACUGAAUACACGUGGACACCCGGGUCCUUAUCUGUCACCAUAUGCAUACUUAUUCUCACAAGUAUUGUCUGUCACAGGCAUGCUUCAUAUAGGCAGAGCCCUCCCACUGCACAUAUCACAUACAGAACCCCCACAACCCCUGACACAAACAUUGCAUACAUAGACACUAUGUAUGUGCUCUUCUAACAUGUCCUUACUCUCCAUACUUCAUGCUAUAUGUAGGUACUAUACAUGCACCAAUAGCUACUCAUCAUGUCCAUGCCGCCACCAAUGUUGCUUCCUGUUUUCAGAGCCAGGUUUCCAAACUUGCCCUUUGUUUGUUUGUUUGUUUGUUUGUUUGUUUGUUUGUAGGCAGGGUCUCUUUGUGUAGCAUGUAGCUCUGGCUGCCCUGGAACUCACUAUGUAGACCAGGCUGACCUCAAAUUCACAGAGAUCCUCCUGAGUGCUGGGAUUAAAGGUGUGUUGCCACCACCCCUGGCCCCAGGUUCUUAUAUCCAUAGAAACCUUUGCCUUUGGGGCUGUAAGGAGACAGAGACUCAAAGAGGUAGCUGGAGAAGAGAGGGCAGUGUCUCCAUUACCCCAACCCAAACUCAUCUACACAGCCCAUAGGAAAGAAGGAGGGUUGGCCUUUCCCCUAAUACCCUAUGAACCAUUAUGUGUCCCUGACGUCAGGGACAUGGAGUUCUGGCAGGAGAUCCGCUGUGAAGCCUGGGCGCUGCACCUACUACACAAGAUGCCCUGGAGACAACAGUCCCAGCCAACAGUCUGGAAGCCAAGUUUUACCAGGCCCACCAAUGCAAUGGGAGCAGAAGAAGCCCUUGUGCAAUACGAGUUGACCCAGGGGACAUGAGGAAAGGGCAAAAGGCCUCGUAGGCCUCAUGUCCCAGGCCCUGAACCUGGAUCUCCAUAGCCUUAUUUCCUGUCAUCCUCACAUCAAAUACCCCUUUCAUCUUAGCCUCUCAAGACAUCAAGGAUAGAACCCAGGGUCUUGCAUGUGUGGGGCCAUAGAUAUACACCCCGUGUUUCUUUGUUUUGUUUUGCUGGUUUUUCAAGAGUUUCUCUGUGAAGACUUAGAUGUCCUGGACUCGUUUUGUAGACCAGGCUGGCCUCAAACUCACAGUGAUCGACUGCCUCUGCCUCUGCCUCUCUGAAUGCUGGAAUUAUAGGUGUGUGCCACUGCACCUGGCUCCCUUCUUUCUCUGUAUUCUCCCAGACAUGGAGCCCAAGAAGGUGCUCACAGCCAGUAAAUGGUAGUUUGUUUGUUUGUUUGUUUCUUUCUUUCUUUCUUUCUUUCUUUCUUUCUUUCCUUCUCCUCCUCCUCCUGCUCCUCCUGGUCUUCUUCUUCUUCAGUCAGAUCUCAUUAUGUAGCAUGGCUGUCCUAGAACUCAUUAUGUAGACCAGACUGGCCUCGAACUCAUAAAGAUCCACCUGCUUCUACGUCCGAAGUGCUGGGAUUAAAGGCACCGUAAGGACUGGCAACAGUAGUUUCUUGCAUUGAACCCUCAAUGGAUCUCACAGCACUGACCAGUGUCCUGAGAUUAUCUAGGACCUGCAUCUGACUGGUCCCAGGGUAAUGAUCACAGGCUGUGGGAAGCUCUAUCUUAGGCUUUCCACUCUCUCUGACUAGGAACACUGAGGUAAGAGCCUUCUCCUAAAGGAUGUAAAAUUGGGGGAUCAGGAAAGUGAGGAAAACAUUUGGCUGAGCUAAGUAAGCUCUUAAUAGAUCAGGAGCCAGGUAGAAGUGGUGCACGCCACUUCUGGCACUAGGGAGUCAGAGACACGUGGAUCUCUGAGUUCAAGGCCAGCUUGGUGCUCAUAGCCAGUAAACGGUAGUUCCAAGACAAACCAAAAGAAACAAAAAAAAAAAAAAAAAAAAAAAAAGGGAUAGUGAGUCAAAGCUGGCAUCAGGCCAAGAACAAGAGCUACAGUUUGAGGCAGGUCAGAGCUAGAAUCAGAGUUGGGACUAAAUCAAGAACCAGACCUGAAGUUAUUGCCACUGGCUGGAUCAGAUGGAGGCCAAGUCAAGGGGCUGAACCAGACCCAAAGGGAGGAGUAGAGAGGAAGGCAGUCCCACCGCGUUUUAAAACUCCCGAGUGUGUAAGGUGCGGCACUGAGCACAGAGGGAGAAAUGUGGAUGCUCACCUGUUUCCAGGGGAGAGACAGGUUUAUCACGUUCUGGCAAAGGAGCCUGCGUGGAGCUAGGCUUACAGGGUGGUCCAGACUUCAGCUGGCAGAGUUGGCAGGAUGGAACCAAAGUCCCCUUGGCCUACCUGUUCUCAGUCCCCUUCUGUGGUGAGCUACCAGGGAGAAGGCCAUUCGUCCAGGCUGGGGAAUUCAUUGACUCCAGCAGUCUCCAGAGCGAUGGCGCUGCCUCCACACUGCCUUCACUCCAGUACAGAGAAACUCAGAAGUUCAGGUGCGCGCUAGUAGAGAAGCCCCCAUUCCAACCUACUCGGCAGAAGUUGCCUCCAGUUUCGAAGAUCCAAAGAUCUGUGGGAUCAUGAGCUGUUUUUGUGUUUACUAGUGCCUCUGCUCAAUGAUUGAUGAGUGAAAGAGUAAACGAAGGCCUCAGUGAGUGAAACCGUACCCGCUUCUUGUUCAGUCUAUACCUGCCUGAGAACCACGGCCCUGACCCCGGAGCUGUCGCCAAGAAUGUGCUUAGGGGGGUCCUUGGUGGCUCAGCGGGGAGCGGGGUUCGCACAAUGCAGGUGCUGGCUGCUCCCUCCCUUCCGUUGCUUUGAGGC
This is a long non-coding RNA of Meriones unguiculatus (Mongolian gerbil), 10007 nucleotides long. RefSeq lists it as uncharacterized. NCBI's taxonomy places the organism in Eukaryota, Metazoa, Chordata, Mammalia, Rodentia, Muridae. The record is from RefSeq and is a predicted model, not a curated record. The transcript is spliced from 8 exons.